RNAcentral lists this ribosomal RNA (528 nucleotides) under Cronobacter sakazakii. Its description in RNAcentral is "bacterial SSU rRNA". It matches the Rfam family "Bacterial small subunit ribosomal RNA", at positions 1 to 522 of the family's 1533-position model. The record is from RNAcentral. Lineage: Bacteria; Pseudomonadati; Pseudomonadota; Gammaproteobacteria; Enterobacterales; Enterobacteriaceae.
UGGAGAGUUUGAUCCUGGCUCAGAUUGAACGCUGGCGGCAGGCCUAACACAUGCAAGUCGAACGGUAACAGGAAGCAGCUUGCUGCUUCGCUGACGAGUGGCGGACGGGUGAGUAAUGUCUGGGAAACUGCCUGAUGGAGGGGGAUAACUACUGGAAACGGUAGCUAAUACCGCAUAACGUCGCAAGACCAAAGAGGGGGACCUUCGGGCCUCUUGCCAUCAGAUGUGCCCAGAUGGGAUUAGCUAGUAGGUGGGGUAACGGCUCACCUAGGCGACGAUCCCUAGCUGGUCUGAGAGGAUGACCAGCCACACUGGAACUGAGACACGGUCCAGACUCCUACGGGAGGCAGCAGUGGGGAAUAUUGCACAAUGGGCGCAAGCCUGAUGCAGCCAUGCCGCGUGUAUGAAGAAGGCCUUCGGGUUGUAAAGUACUUUCAGCGGGGAGGAAGGCGAUGCGGUUAAUAACCGCGUCGAUUGACGUUACCCGCAGAAGAAGCACCGGCUAACUCCGUGCCAGCAGCCGCGGUA